RNAcentral lists this ribosomal RNA (253 nucleotides) under uncultured bacterium. Its description in RNAcentral is "partial 16S ribosomal RNA". It matches the Rfam family "Bacterial small subunit ribosomal RNA", at positions 524 to 776 of the family's 1533-position model. The record is from RNAcentral.
UACAGAGGUCCCGAGCGUUGUUCGGAUUCACUGGGCGUAAAGGGUGCGUAGGUGGCAUGGUAAGUUUGAUGUGAAAGCUCAGGGCUUAACCCUGAAAUGGCAUUGAAUACUACUGUGCUCGAGGGUUGGAGGGGGGACUGGAAUGCUUGGUGUAGCAGUGAAAUGCGUAGAUAUCAAGCGGAACACCGGUGGCGAAGGCGGGUCUCUGGGCAGUAACUGACGCUGAGGAGCGAAAGCGUGGGGAGCGAACAGG